UCCGACAACUUUGUUGAUGUCUGGAGGUGGACCUGGACCUUGCCGUGUCACGACGGCUGGUCUGAAAUGCAUGAGUGCACCCUGCUGUAGCAGCGUCUUCAGUGUGAUAAGUAUCUUCACUGAUUCAAGUUCCUUCGGGACACGCUCGUCUGGUGGGCUCUGCGCUUCCAACCGUCUCUCGCAGACAAACCUUGACAAUUUGACCUCAAAUCGGGUGGGAUUACCCGCUGAACUUAAGCAUAUCAAUAAGCGGAGGAAAAGAAACUAACAAGGAUUCCCCUAGUAACGGCGAGUGAAGAGGGAAAAGCUCAAAUUUUGAAUCUGGUACCUUCGGUGCCCGAGUUGUAAUCUAGAGAAGUGUUUUCUGCCUUGGACCACGCAUAAAUUCCCUGGAAUGGGGUGUCAUAGAGGGUGAGAAUCCCGUUUGUGGUGUGGACUACCUUGGCUCUGUGAUACACUCUCAACGAGUCGAGUUGUUUGGGAAUGCAGCUCAAAAUGGGUGGUAAAUUCCAUCUAAAGCUAAAUAUUGGCGAGAGACCGAUAGCGAACAAGUACCGUGAGGGAAAGAUGAAAAGCACUUUGGAAAGAGAGUGAAACAGUACGUGAAAUUGUUGGAAGGGAAGCGCUUGAGGUUAGUCGCAUCUGUCAGGACUCAGCCAGGCUUCUGCCUGGUGUACUUCCUGGCCGGUGGGUCAGCGUCAGUUUUGACCGAGGGAGAAAGGCUUGGGGAAUGUGGCUGUCUUCGGGCAGUGUUAUAGCCCCUUGUUGUAUGUCUCGGUCGGGACUGAGGAUCGCAGCACGCCUUAUGGCCGGGGUUCGCGCCCUCGGUACG
Molecule: ribosomal RNA, 832 nt
Filed under: uncultured Sebacinales
Lineage: Eukaryota; Fungi; Basidiomycota; Agaricomycetes; Sebacinales
Description: eukaryotic LSU rRNA
Rfam family: Eukaryotic large subunit ribosomal RNA (bases 201-832)
Source: RNAcentral